UACAGAGGUGGCGAGCGUUGUUCGGAUUUACUGGGCGUAAAGGGUGCGUAGGCGGUCCUGUGUGUCGGAUGUGAAAGCCCAUGGCUUAACCAUGGAACGGCAUCCGAAACUGCAGGACUUGAGUGCAGGAGAGGAGAGUGGAAUUCUUGGUGUAGCGGUGAAAUGCGCAGAUAUCAAGAGGAACACCGGUGGCGAAGGCGGCUCUCUGGAAUGACACUGACGCUGAGGCACGAAAGCCGGGGUAGCAAAAAGG
RNAcentral lists this ribosomal RNA (253 nucleotides) under uncultured bacterium. RNAcentral's name for it is "partial 16S ribosomal RNA". It matches the Rfam family "Bacterial small subunit ribosomal RNA", at positions 524 to 776 of the family's 1533-position model. The record is from RNAcentral.